GUAAGGAAUAUUGGACAAUGGCCGCAAGGCUGAUCCAGCCAUGCCGCGUGCAGGAAGAAGGCGCUAUGCGUCGUAAACUGCUUUUACACCGGAGAAAACCCCCUUUCGUGAAAGGGGCUGAUAGUAUGGUGAGAAUAAGCAUCGGCUAACUUCGUGCCAGCAGCCGCGGUAAGACGAAGGAUGCAAGCGUUAUCCGGAUUCAUUGGGUUUAAAGGGAGCGUAGGUGGUCUUAUAAGUCAGUGGUGAAAUCUUCUCGCUUAACGGGAAAACUGCCAUUGAUACUGUAGGACUUGAGUAUAGUUGCUGUGGGCGGAAUAUGACAUGUAGUGGUGAAAUACUUAGAGAUGUCAUAGAACACCGAUUGCGAAGGCAGCUCACAAAACUAUAACUGACACUGAGGCUCGAAAGUGCGGGGAUCAAACAGGAUUAGAAACCCUGGUAGUCC
This 445-nucleotide ribosomal RNA is filed under the name uncultured bacterium. RNAcentral describes it as "bacterial SSU rRNA". It matches the Rfam family "Bacterial small subunit ribosomal RNA", at positions 354 to 796 of the family's 1533-position model. The record is from RNAcentral.